GAUUCUGAGAACUCUAUUUGAAGACUCUACAAAGAGAUAUCUGAAGACUAUAACUCUGAAGACUCUGAUCAUGCUCACCUCGCUCUGACACUUGCUCAGAAACACGCCAUCAGAUGUUACCUGGUCAUAAACUUAAGCUGAAAGCAUUCAAAUUGUAGUACAAUCCUUUUAAGCAAACAUUUUAUUAUGCUCCUAGUCUGCUAUGGAAAGGACAAGGAAUUUAC
RNAcentral lists this long non-coding RNA (224 nucleotides) under Lathyrus oleraceus (garden pea). Its description in RNAcentral is "Pisum sativum (pea) long non-coding RNA (PSAT_LNC006862)". Lineage: Eukaryota; Viridiplantae; Streptophyta; Magnoliopsida; Fabales; Fabaceae. The record is from RNAcentral.